UUGGGGAAUAUUUGCGAACAAUGAGGCGAAAGCCUGAUCCAGCCAUGCCGCGUGCAUGAAGAAGGCCUUCGGGUUGUAAAGUGCUUUUGUCCGGAACGAAAAAGCUUCUGCUAAUACGAGAGGCCCAUGACGGUACCGUAAGAAUAAGCACCGGCUAACUACGUGCCAGCAGCCGCGGUAAUAACGGCGGU
RNAcentral lists this ribosomal RNA (191 nucleotides) under uncultured Comamonadaceae bacterium. RNAcentral describes it as "partial 16S ribosomal RNA". It matches the Rfam family "Bacterial small subunit ribosomal RNA", at positions 354 to 532 of the family's 1533-position model. The record is from RNAcentral. Lineage: Bacteria; Pseudomonadati; Pseudomonadota; Betaproteobacteria; Burkholderiales; Comamonadaceae.